This 473-nucleotide ribosomal RNA is filed under the name uncultured bacterium. RNAcentral describes it as "bacterial SSU rRNA". It matches the Rfam family "Bacterial small subunit ribosomal RNA", at positions 28 to 507 of the family's 1533-position model. The record is from RNAcentral.
GACGAACGCUGGCGGCGUGCUUAACACAUGCAAGUCGAGCGGAAAGGCUCCUUCGGGGGUACUCGAGCGGCGAACGGGUGAGUAACACGUGAGUAAUCUGCCCUUGGCUUUGGGAUAACUACCGGAAACGGUGGCUAAUACCGGAUACGACCACUCCUUGCAUGAGGUGGUGGUGGAAAGUUUUUCGGCCAGGGAUGUGCUCGCGGCCUAUCAGCUUGUUGGUGGGGUAAUGGCCUACCAAGGCUUCGACGGGUAGCCGGCCUGAGAGGGUGACCGGCCACACUGGGACUGAGACACGGCCCAGACUCCUACGGGAGGCAGCAGUGGGGAAUAUUGGACAAUGGGCGGAAGCCUGAUCCAGCAACGCCGCGUGAGGGAUGACGGCCUUCGGGUUGUAAACCUCUUUCAGUACCGACGAAGCGCCGAUGAUGGUGGUGACGGUAGGUACAGAAGAAGCACCGGCCAACUACGUG